RNAcentral lists this long non-coding RNA (468 nucleotides) under Bos taurus (domestic cattle). Its description in RNAcentral is "long non-coding RNA NONBTAT002876". The record is from RNAcentral. Lineage: Eukaryota; Metazoa; Chordata; Mammalia; Artiodactyla; Bovidae.
UCAACUGUGGCAAAUGCAUAAGGCUCAGGUCAGAGGUAUGUAAAGGCUUCUUAUAAUCACAGUGAUUAUUACACUAAUAAUAUAUAGAUUAGUUCCCUAAUCUAUAUCGGAUCUUAUCGUUAAAAAAACAAAUAAUUGUUUUGUGUAGGACUUAAAUCUUCCAUAUAAUUAGGUGUUGUAUUUACUUUGCAACCCCUUUUUAGGAAGGGGUAAAUAUCUCAAAUUGUUUUACUGAGAAUUUGUACUAUAAGCCCAACUACAUAUUAUAUGGUGAAGGCCAAGAUGUGAAUGAUCACUGAGGAAGCGAUUCCUUUUCCAAGAUUCUUACACCCCUCCCCAAACAAACUGUCCCAGUGUUUUCUCUCAACUUAAAACAGAAAAUUUGUGAUUUUCGUGGCCUUCAAAUGCGGAAGCUAUCCUCACGAAAGCAUCUGGUUUUCUUGGAUCAAAAGUAAACCAUGAACCUUC